ACGUUAUCAAGAAAGGUGUAGGGAUUAGACCCGCAGAAGCCUUAGCAACCCUUUAUGUACUUCAAUUAACAAGGAAGUUUUCUUAGAGAAGGUGCUACGUUCUACCGUAGAUAAUACGGACAGAUAACAA
This 130-nucleotide non-coding RNA is filed under the name Galbibacter orientalis. Its description in RNAcentral is "Joostella marina SAM-I sequence". It matches the Rfam family "SAM riboswitch aptamer (S box leader)". Rfam says of the family: The SAM riboswitch is found upstream of a number of genes which code for proteins involved in methionine or cysteine biosynthesis in Gram-positive bacteria. The SAM riboswitch acts at the level of transcription termination control. The predicted structure consists of a complex stem-loop region followed by a single stem loop terminator region. The record is from RNAcentral. Lineage: Bacteria; Pseudomonadati; Bacteroidota; Flavobacteriia; Flavobacteriales; Flavobacteriaceae. RNAcentral also lists the same sequence under 1 other name.